This 530-nucleotide ribosomal RNA is filed under the name uncultured bacterium. RNAcentral's name for it is "bacterial SSU rRNA". It matches the Rfam family "Bacterial small subunit ribosomal RNA", at positions 777 to 1304 of the family's 1533-position model. The record is from RNAcentral.
AAUAGAUACCCGGGUAGUCCACGCCGUAAACGAUGAGUGCUAAGUGUUAGAGGGUUUCCGCCCUUUAGUGCUGCAGCUAACGCAUUAAGCACUCCGCCUGGGGAGUACGGUCGCAAGACUGAAACUCAAAGGAAUUGACGGGGGCCCGCACAAGCGGUGGAGCAUGUGGUUUAAUUCGAAGCAACGCGAAGAACCUUACCAGGUCUUGACAUCCCACUGACCGGUAUAGAGAUAUACCUUUCCCUUCGGGGACAGUGGUGACAGGUGGUGCAUGGUUGUCGUCAGCUCGUGUCGUGAGAUGUUGGGUUAAGUCCCGCAACGAGCGCAACCCUUGAUCUUAGUUGCCAGCAUUUAGUUGGGCACUCUAAGGUGACUGCCGGUGACAAACCGGAGGAAGGUGGGGAUGACGUCAAAUCAUCAUGCCCCUUAUGACCUGGGCUACACACGUGCUACAAUGGAUGGUACAAAGGGCUGCAAGACUGCGAAGUCAAGCCAAUCCCAUAAAAACCAUUCUCAGUUCGGAUUGCAGG